This 468-nucleotide ribosomal RNA is filed under the name uncultured bacterium. RNAcentral describes it as "partial 16S ribosomal RNA". It matches the Rfam family "Bacterial small subunit ribosomal RNA", at positions 28 to 523 of the family's 1533-position model. The record is from RNAcentral.
GACGAACGCUGGCGGCGUGCUUAACACAUGCAAGUCGAGCGAUUUACUUCGGUAAAGAGCGGCGGACGGGUGAGUAACGCGUGGGUAACCUGCCCUGUACACACGGAUAACAUACCGAAAGGUAUGCUAAUACGGGAUAAUAUGCUUUUAUCGCAUGGUAGAAGUAUCAAAGCUUUUGCGGUACAGGAUGGACCCGCGUCUGAUUAGCUAGUUGGUAAGGUAACGGCUUACCAAGGCGACGAUCAGUAGCCGACCUGAGAGGGUGAUCGGCCACAUUGGAGCUGAGACACGGUCCAAACUCCUACGGGAGGCAGCAGUGGGGAAUAUUGCACAAUGGGCGAAAGCCUGAUGCAGCAACGCCGCGUGAGCGAUGAAGGCCUUCGGGUCGUAAAGCUCUGUCCUCAAGGAAGAUAAUGACGGUACUUGAGGAGGAAGCCCCGGCUAACUACGUGCCAGCCGCCGCCGUAA